GUAGGUGGCAAGCGUUGUCCGGAAUUAUUGGGGCGUAAAGCGCGCGCAGGCGGUUCUUUAAGUCUGAUGUGAAAGCCCACGGGCUCAACCGUGGAGGGUCAUUGGAAACUGGAGAACUUGAGUACAGAAGAGGAAAGCGGAAUUCCACGUGUAGCGGUGAAAUGCGUAGAGAUGUGGCGGAACACCAGUGGCGAAGGCGGCUUUCUGGUCUGUAACUGACGCUGAGGCGCGAAAGCGUGGGGAGCAAACAGGAUUAGAUACCCUGGUAGUCCACGCCGUAAACGAUGAGUGCUAAGUGUUAGGGGGUUUCCGCCCCUUAGUGCUGCAGCUAACGCAUUAAGCACUCCGCCUGGGGAGUACGGCCGCAAAGGCUG
RNAcentral lists this ribosomal RNA (374 nucleotides) under uncultured organism. Its description in RNAcentral is "partial 16S ribosomal RNA". It matches the Rfam family "Bacterial small subunit ribosomal RNA", at positions 527 to 896 of the family's 1533-position model. The record is from RNAcentral.